CAGUACCCUGUCUAGCCUGCCAGAAGUUUGAGACUGUGUCCCUGGAGUUGAAGCUCAUCAAAGUUGUUUCACCAUGGCACAUGAUCGGGGUGGACCUCAUCGAACCCUUCAUGAAAUCCAGGAAUGGCAACAGCUGGUGUCUGCCGGCGACCGAUCACUUUACCAAGUGGAUGGAGGCAAUACCCAUUAAGGACGAGACUAGCGAGGCCACCUCCAAGGCUAUGGUGAACAUCUUCAACACCUGCCUUCCAGGAGGUAUCCCGUCCACCAGAACCAGUGAGUUUGGAUCAGACUGAUUCUCUGUGUUAGUCGGCGGAGGACCAACUUGAGAUAUGCACUUUAACACUUUUGGAAGGUAUAGCCCAUCUCCCAUUUAUAACACAGCACUAAUCCAUCACAUGUUCUCACAGUAAAGUGUAACCUGUGUGUUAGAUUGUUUACGUCUGUCUCCUACCCUAUUCCCUUUAACUCUGCUCCUGUUCUACAUGAGCUAGGGGUUCUGCCCAACACCAGACGUGGAUCCACCUGCCUAGUGAAAUAAAGGUUAAAUAAAACAUAUAUUUUAAACUGUCCACCAUUACCAACCACCCUACAACUUUGCAUUACAUCAGCUACUGUUGUUGUCAUUAUCUGCUAAGGAAGUUUUUUUCUCUCUGUCAUACCUGGCACAUAAUGUGAGAUACAGACUUAACUAAAAACACUAGCACUGCAAACACUCAGAACAAAGAGAGCAGCAGUGUCUGGACUUUGUCUCCCUCUUCAAGUCCCUCUUCUGAGACUGACUGCCUGUUGGGAACAAGUGACAGGCAGAACGUCCUACCCAUACAGCAACCACCUCUAUA
Long non-coding RNA from Salvelinus sp. IW2-2015, 842 nucleotides. RefSeq lists it as uncharacterized. The record is from RefSeq and is a predicted model, not a curated record. NCBI's taxonomy places the organism in Eukaryota, Metazoa, Chordata, Actinopteri, Salmoniformes, Salmonidae.